AGACGGGACCCGCACAAGCGGUGGAUUAUGUGGAUUAAUUCGAUGCAACGCGAAAACCUUACCUACCCUUGACAUGCUAGGAACUUGCAGAGAUGGCUUGGUGCCGAAAGGGAACCUAGACACAGGUGCUGCAUGGCUGUCGUCAGCUCGUGUCGUGAGAUGUUGGGUUAAGUCCCGCAACGAGCGCAACCCUUGUCAUUAAUUGCCAUCAUUCAGUUGGGCACUUUAAUGAGACUGCCGGUGACAAACCGGAGGAAGGUGGGGAUGACGUCAAGUCCUCAUGGCCUUUAUGACCAGGGCUACACACGUACUACAAUGGCCGGUACAAAGGGCAGCGACACAGCGAUGUGAAGCCAAUCCCGAAAAGCCGGUCUCAGUCCGGAUUGGAGUCUGCAACUCGACUCCAUGAAGUUGGAAUCGCUAGUAAUCGCGGAUCAGCACGCCGCGGUGAAUACGUUCCCGGGCCUU
This 468-nucleotide ribosomal RNA is filed under the name uncultured Candidatus Nitrotoga sp. RNAcentral's name for it is "bacterial SSU rRNA". It matches the Rfam family "Bacterial small subunit ribosomal RNA", at positions 916 to 1381 of the family's 1533-position model. The record is from RNAcentral. Lineage: Bacteria; Pseudomonadati; Pseudomonadota; Betaproteobacteria; Nitrosomonadales; Gallionellaceae.